Molecule: long non-coding RNA, 551 nt
Filed under: Chinchilla lanigera (long-tailed chinchilla)
Lineage: Eukaryota; Metazoa; Chordata; Mammalia; Rodentia; Chinchillidae
Description: lncRNA (ENSCLAG00000025964.1)
Source: RNAcentral
GUAAAACUACAGUUGGAGUGAUGCAAUCUUACAGAGACUAACACAAAAAGCCGCAGCUUUUAUAUUUCCCAAGGGGUCACUUGAGAAGAGAGCCAGUGGACAUCAGCUUACAAGCCAAAUUCAGCUUGCAAACUGGUUCUGUCCAGCCCUUGAGCUAAGAAUGGUUUUCAUACUUUUGAAGGGAUGAAAACACACACAUAUACAAGGAAUAUGUGACCAAGGCAGAGGCCACGUGUAACCAGAAACCUAAACUAUUUACUGUCUGGUGCUUUCCAAAAACAAGUGCUGAGCCUUGGCUAAGACACAGUACUCUGAAAUAACUGCGUAUUUCAUUCCAGGUGAUGCUUCAGUGCCAUGGGUCUGCCUGUCCAACCCACCAACAUUCGGGCUGCUCUCCCUCCUCCCACCUGGCGCUUCCACGCCUCAGCCUUCUUGGCACCUCUUCUGUCCGUCUCCAAGUCAAACGGCUCAGGCUGGGUCACGUCCUUUACCUUCUUCUCUGGCAGGUUAAUGCUAUCAAAAUGAGGCUUCUGACAGCCAGCAGGAUUUAG